UAAUUCUUCAAAUGCGUUAGUUCCUGAGUCUAGCUCUCCUGCUGUUUGCCUCUUCCGCUUCGCAGGCGACUCCGCUGGUGGCGCCUUUAUGGGCUCCAUCUUCGGCUACGGUCUUCCCUUCCAUCCUUGUUAUAUAAUAUUUUUGUUUAUCUUCAUAAACGUUUUGGCCUUUAAUUUUGCUUAAUUGGGAUUUUUAUUUCAUUGAAUAUUUGGACUGUUAUAUUUGUUCUGUUAGAUGAUUAGCCCUUCGAAGCGGGUUUAGUGUGUGUAUGUUUACGGUUCUUCAGCUAUGGUUCUUGGUAAGAGCUGAAUUUUGCCUUUUUAGGGUAGGAGUGAUGUUUAAUCACCCGUAAUCUGAGUUUGAAAUGAUUUCCGUAGUUUGGACGUCUGGGAUUUGGGACGUGCGUCCACUGCAGGAUUUUGGAAUGCCUGUUUGCCCUUUGGUUUAAAAUGAGUAUUAUUUUGACUCCUUGAUGCCCUAUAACAAACGUGCUUUUGGCCUUUCAUGUUUAUAUAAGUGAUGUUGUUUUAUAACACAUAGCGCACUCUAAGUUGGAGUUUAGUGUAAUUAAGCUGCGGUGGUGAUUUGAAUAAAGUAUUAAGCAGUUGGUACUUGGUAUGGGGUUGUAAUAAUAGUUUUAAGAUUCAACUUUUGUUAUAAGAAAAAUUAAAUUGAAAGGAAGAACGUGGUGCAUCCAGCAUGUAAGGAACUUUUCUGGAAAUAAAAAAUAAUUGGUUCUAUGGUACUUUUGCUGGCCAAGUGCAAAUGCCAAGGGCCUUUGUUACGUUUGGCAAUGCACUACUCACCUCUAUACUGUGGACUAAAAAUCUUUGGAUAUAGAAAUUCUAGUGCCUUUUGAUGGUGGAGAAGACCUUUGAAACACAUUCAUCAUUUUAUUUGAUUAAAUAGGAUGAGAGAAGAACAUGCUCAUCAUUGCAUCAAUGAUGGUGCAAAUAUUAUCUAAGAUUCUCAGUAAACAAUAGACGUGCUGCAUGAUGUUAGUACUUAUGUAGAAGUUUAAAGUCGUAUUGCAUUUUGCAUGCCACGUUUAAGGUAGUAGGAUGCAUAUGGAACAUAUAAGUGAUCUGUAUGUGCAUAAUUUUUCGAAUUUAAGUUCAUUACUUGUUGAUGCUGAGCACUUAGGGUAUGAUGACCCAGGGAAAGCAGAGGGGGGCAUAAAAAUUUUGAGUUUUGUUUGUUUUUGGUACAAAAAAUUUUGAGGUUUUAUUGGUAAAUCUCGUAUUUUUAUUGAUUUCAGUUGUUUAAUUCAUGCCUGUUAGUUUCUAAGGAAUAUCCAGAAGUAGGAUGCUACUCUUUUUGAAUAUUACUUUACUAAUAUUUGAGAUGGUGUUGGUAGGAUAAGCCUAUUAUUCUGGAAUUGUACAUCCUUGUAGGUUCUUGAUCAUCUAUUAUUAUCAAAGGAUAGCCAGCUGGAAGCUGUAUGUAGAAAUAAAUUAUUUAAAUAUUAUGACCAUGCUAACAUGAAAAUGCUCCGUUAUUUUUCAGUAUUUCACAUUCCAAUUGAAAACCAUUGUUCUGUAUGGAUUGUUAGGGGAUGUCCCAUGUCCUGAUAUGAACCUGCUUGAUAUGAAUACUUUUCCAGGUUCUGGAUUGAUUAAAAAGAAAGGCUUUAAAGGAUCCUUU
Molecule: unclassified non-coding RNA, 1645 nt
Filed under: Hevea brasiliensis (rubber tree)
Lineage: Eukaryota; Viridiplantae; Streptophyta; Magnoliopsida; Malpighiales; Euphorbiaceae
Source: RNAcentral